Molecule: long non-coding RNA, 281 nt
Filed under: Lathyrus oleraceus (garden pea)
Lineage: Eukaryota; Viridiplantae; Streptophyta; Magnoliopsida; Fabales; Fabaceae
Description: Pisum sativum (pea) long non-coding RNA (PSAT_LNC001299)
Source: RNAcentral
UUUUGUUGACUUUCUUCUUUUGCUUUGAUUGUUUGUUAUUACUCAUUGCCCAUUCCAAAGGACACACUUGAAUCAUCUUCUAUAUGAUUUCAAGAGGUGAACCUUCUAAGAAGUUUUACACUCCACCUUCAUCCAUUCAUCCCCAUUAUGUCCUAAACCUUUUCACAUGUUACUUUUAAACUUGAGAUAAGUGUUGUGCAAACAUCUUCAUGCUUUUCAAACUAAAAACCUGGACCCAAGUCCUUGACUUUUUUCAAACUCCAUUUCAUAAUACUUCUUUU